RNAcentral lists this ribosomal RNA (253 nucleotides) under uncultured bacterium. RNAcentral describes it as "partial 16S ribosomal RNA". It matches the Rfam family "Bacterial small subunit ribosomal RNA", at positions 524 to 776 of the family's 1533-position model. The record is from RNAcentral.
UACGUAGGGUGCGAGCGUUGUCCGGAAUUACUGGGCGUAAAGAGCUCGUAGGUGGUUUGUCGCGUUGUUCGUGAAAACUCACAGCUUAACUGUGGGCGUGCGGGCGAUACGGGCAGACUGGAGUACUGCAGGGGAGACUGGAAUUCCUGGUGUAGCGGUGGAAUGCGCAGAUAUCAGGAGGAACACCGGUGGCGAAGGCGGCAUCCUGGACCGACACUGACGCUGAGGAGCGAAAGCCAGGGGAGCAAACGGG